RNAcentral lists this ribosomal RNA (468 nucleotides) under uncultured bacterium. Its description in RNAcentral is "partial 16S ribosomal RNA". It matches the Rfam family "Bacterial small subunit ribosomal RNA", at positions 28 to 507 of the family's 1533-position model. The record is from RNAcentral.
GACGAGCGCUGGCGGCGUGCUUAACACAUGCAAGUCGAACGGAAAGGCCCUGCUUUUGUGGGGUUCUCGAGUGGCGAACGGGUGAGUAACACGUGUGUAACCUGCCCUUGACUUUGUGAUAACUUCAGGAAACUGGUGCUAAUACCGGAUAGGAUCUCCUGCUGCAUGUUGGUGUUUGGAAAGUUUCGGCGGUUGGGGAUGGACUCGCGGCUUAUCAGCUUGUUGGUGGGGUAGUGGCUUACCAAGGCUUUGACGGGUAGCAGGCCUGAGAGGGUGACCGGCAACAUUGGGACUGAGAGACGGACCAGACUGCAACGGGAGGAAGCAGUGGGGAAUAUUGCAAAAUGGGAGGAAGCCGGAUGAAGAAAAGCGGCGUGCGGGAUGAAGGCCUUCGGGUUGUAAACAGAUUUCGAAUGUGACGAAGAGUGAGUGACGGUAAUGGGUAAAGAAGCACCGGCUAACUACGUG